UGAGGAAUAUUGGUCAAUGGAGGCAACUCUGAACCAGCCAUGCCGCGUGAAGGAUGAAGGCGCUAUGCGUUGUAAACUUCUUUUGUACGGGAAGAAACCUCUCUACGUGUAGAGAGCUGACGGUACCGUAAGAAUAAGCAUCGGCUAACUCCGUGCCAGCAGCCGCGGUAAUACGGAGGAUGCAAGCGUUAUCCGGAUUUAUUAGGUUUAAAGGGUGCGCAGGCGGAAAUGUAAGUCAGUGGUGAAAGCCUACAGCUUAACUGUAGAACUGCCAUUGAUACUGCUUUUCUUGAGUAUAGUUGAAGUAGGCGGAAUGUGUAGUGUAGCGGUGAAAUGCAUAGAUAUUACACAGAACACCGAUUGCGAAGGCAGCUUACUAAACUAUUACUGACGCUCAUGCACGAAAGCGUGGGGAGCGAACAGG
This 424-nucleotide ribosomal RNA is filed under the name uncultured bacterium. RNAcentral's name for it is "bacterial SSU rRNA". It matches the Rfam family "Bacterial small subunit ribosomal RNA", at positions 355 to 776 of the family's 1533-position model. The record is from RNAcentral.